Molecule: ribosomal RNA, 492 nt
Filed under: uncultured bacterium
Lineage: Bacteria
Description: partial 16S ribosomal RNA
Rfam family: Bacterial small subunit ribosomal RNA
Source: RNAcentral
AGUGAACGCUGGCGGUAGGCCUAACACAUGCAAGUCGAACGGCAGCACAGUAAGAGCUUGCUCUUACGGGUGGCGAGUGGCGGACGGGUGAGGAAUACAUCGGAAUCUACUUUUUCGUGGGGGAUAACGUAGGGAAACUUACGCUAAUACCGCAUACGACGUACGGGUGAAAGCAGGGGAUCUUCGGACCUUGCGCGGUUGAAUGAGCCGAUGUCGGGUUAGCUAGUUGGCGGGGUAAAGGCCCACCAAGGCGACGAUCCGUAGCUGGUCUGAGAGGAUGAUCAGCCACACUGGAACUGAGACACGGUCCAGACUCCUACGGGAGGCAGCAGUGGGGAAUAUUGGACAAUGGGCGCAAGCCUGAUCCAGCCAUACCGCGUGGGUGAAGAAGGCCUUCGGGUUGUAAAGCCCUUUUGUUGGGAAAGAAAAGCAGCAGGUUAAUACCCCGCUGUUCUGACGGUACCCAAAGAAUAAGCACCGGCUAACUUCGUG